RNAcentral lists this long non-coding RNA (994 nucleotides) under Androctonus crassicauda. The record is from RNAcentral. Lineage: Eukaryota; Metazoa; Arthropoda; Arachnida; Scorpiones; Buthidae.
GUCGGACAUUGGCAUGUUACAUGACGGGUGAGUGUUUUCUGAAUAUUAUUUUGCUGAUAAAAUUUUCAGGGUAAAGACAGCGUACACCAGCUCGCAGUCACACAAACGACUCAAUUUACCACUUUUAGUGUGAAAAUGCCCCUUCUUGGGUCAGAAACGUACAGUCUGUAUUACCUUUGUUAGGCGAUGUGUCGAGAUAGUAUUGAGCACGUUCGGGUCGCGGAUCGGACGAGCUGGUUGUGCCAGCGUUGCUGCUGUCUGAACAUCCAUCGGUCGGGUAAGGGAAGGACCACACCGUUGUUACGAACUUCAAGCGCUUGGGGGGAAUUAAAACGGAUAUAUUUCGCGUCCGAUUGUCGACAUCGGUUUUUAUUAUUACGUCAUCAACUGGUACGUCUCUAUAGGUCGUGUUCCUAAGACGUAAAUGGCGGAAGCACGGAAUGUUGCUAUUUCUUGUGUUUUAACUAAUACACAUACGGCGUAAUAAAUCAAACCACGUGCGAUUAAAACUGUUUCGGGAACGGAUUGAAUAUCACAAAAUGACGAAAUCUUCCUCGUCUAACACUAGACACAAAGAUGGCGGUGUCUACUUCGUCACCUUUUUUCCCCCGACUGUGCGAAGCGACCGUAACGAACUUGAAAAAAGUAGAUUAUAAAGUUUGGAAGUAGUGAAGUCACCUAGAUGUUGUUUUACGUUUAAUUUGUUCAAAAUACGAAUCUACAAAAAACAAUAGCCUCCCUCCUUCCUUGUGGUUAACAAAAUGGCGGAGGAACUGGUUGUUGUUUUCUACAAAAUAGUACUUUUCCUGAGGCGCCGCAAGGCUAGACGUGCAGAAUUCUUCUUCCUGUCUGUCGUUUUCUCGAAUCUUAAAAAAGUCAAUGUUCUUAUUUAAAAGUUAUUUGAAUUUUACUAUAAAUUAUCUCACAAACAGGUUUUCCUCAAAAAUUAUGUUAGUUAAUUUAAAGUUAUAGCAAAGGUAUUGCUGAUAAUACA